This 486-nucleotide ribosomal RNA is filed under the name uncultured bacterium. RNAcentral's name for it is "SSU rRNA". It matches the Rfam family "Bacterial small subunit ribosomal RNA", at positions 26 to 513 of the family's 1533-position model. The record is from RNAcentral.
AGCCUGAACGCUGGCGGCGUGGCUAAGACAUGCAAGUCGAACGGGUGUAGCAAUACACCAGUGGCGGACGGGUGAGUAAUGAAUCGCUAAUGUACCCCGGAGCCAGAGAUAGCUGCCCGAAAGGGCAGGUAAUACCUGAUGAGACCACAGUACCGCAUGGUACGAUGCUCAAAGCCGCAAGGCACUCUGGGAGCAGGCGAUUUUGUAUCAGCUAGUUGGUGAGGUAACGGCUCACCAAGGCUUUGACGGGUAGCUGGUCUGAGAGGACGACCAGUCACACUGGAACUGAGACACGGUCCAGACACCUACGGGUGGCAGCAGUCGAGAAUUUUUCUCAAUGGGGGAAACCCUGAAGGAGCGACGCCGCGUGGAGGAUGAAGGUCUUCGGGUUGUAAACUCCUGUCAUUUGGGAACAAGUGCCGAUAAUUAACUACUGUCGGCUUGAUAGUACCAGAAGAGGAAGAGACGGCUAACUCUGUGCCAGCA